Molecule: non-coding RNA, 2056 nt
Organism: Physcomitrium patens
Lineage: Eukaryota; Viridiplantae; Streptophyta; Bryopsida; Funariales; Funariaceae
Source: RefSeq, a predicted model, not a curated record
GAGCAGAUGUUGCGUAAACAGUGUGAAGCAUCUGAAGCAGAAGCAGACAACUCGGGAAAACUGAAUUUGAAAUCCAGGUACUUCUCAGCGCAAGCUCUGCGACUCGAUCCAGCUGGCUGGGGUGCUGCAAAUCAAGACGAUCACGUACCCGGACGAAGCAAUCGUGGAACGCCAUCCGAAGGAUUCCAGGUGCAACGGUGUCGUCGGCCUUGGUGGAUUGAGCCAUAGAGUUGUAGACGAUGGCCUCCACUUGGGGACAGCUGUGACGAUAGAACCCUACCUUGAGUCCAGUGUGAGCGGCAGCCGGGGUGAUUGAAUUCAUGGCAAGGGCGAUGGUUACGAAGAUCGCCAGUAACGCCGGUGAGGGCCACCUCCCCAUCGUACUGGAACUGGGCAAGUCGCAAGUUUGAGUACGAAGAUGCAGGGAAAGAAGAUGAGAGUCGCCUUGGCUGAUGAAGCUUUGCGCGUCCGGAUACGAGUGGCACUGCACAAGACCGCAACGACACGAGGAAGACUGGGAGUGUCCUAUAUCCGAGUUGACGUCGAGAACAGUACGGGCCGUCGAACGUGUACGGACCACAGAAACCCCUCGUGGCGUUCCAAGACUUUUCGGAGUGGGCUCAAGUCUGAAGAGGGGACAGUAUUGACCGUGGGACGGAGAGAGCCGGUCGCCAGCACAACAUCAGCGCACAUGCUUACAAAUCUAACCCACGCAAGAUGGAGGCUCUAGCGAAACGAAACAGUUGACAACAGCAGCUGGACUUGGGCAAUAUGGCGGGACCGGUCACCAUGGAUGAGUGAUCGAGCCUGGUAUUGGAGUUGGGUGACCUUGCAACAUCCGCCCCUGGAAGUGAGCAGUGAUUCGGUCUCCGUGCAGCUGGCAACUGUUGACUCACCAACCGGUACCCGUCAUCCUUGGCGGCCGAAUUGUCUGUUCAUAUUAGUGGGUAAUUAUAUGUGUGGGUUGCUUCCUUCCUCGGUGGUGUGCUUCUAAUCCGUUUGGAUCCUUCAAACACGGUGGAGGUUUAUUCUGUAAAGCAGGGGUGGGGAAGCAUGAUGCUUCUGGGAAAAUUUUGUUGGUGUAAUCCGUGCUGCUUCCAGCAUGGAUCCCAUCGUGCUUUGUUGAGCAUGACGUUCACUUUGUUGCACUUUAUCAGCGCAGAGGAUUUCAUCCAGCAGUCGAGUUCAGUUAGCUUUAUUUUCUAAUUCGAUUCUAUCAUGCACGUAAGAACGUAUGGAAAUUCAUGAAAGUCGGGUUCCUUGUCGGCGUGUACGUGAUCUGGUCAAAAUAUGCGCGUGUUGUAGUGAAAUGGAGUUUGAAGUUUUUGAGCUUACAAGGAUAUUUGCAUAUAUUUUAUAAUGCACGUGAGGUAAUCAACCCUGAAAGCUGUACCAGAAAAACAUUACUACUGAACAUUUGUGUGUUUAUAUUGAGGCUUUUGAUUUCAAGAAGGGAUGGAUGUGAUACGCACUUGAGGAUUAUUUCAAAUAUAUAAAUUUUGUUGUAGUAAGCAAUAAAAAGCAACAUUCAUAAAAACUCUUACAUUUCAAACAUGGAGGUAUGUAAAUCGAUGUUUUUGUACAAAUGUGUUGGCUUUGAAAGAAGAAAAAUUUGUGCAAAUGUUUCUAAUUCUAUUUGGUAUUUUCUUUAUCAGUGCAGAGGUUUUCACUUCGCACAGUGGAGUUCAGUGUGUUCCAAUCUUCAAUUCGAUCACAGCAUGCACGUAAGGUUUGUAUGGAAAUUUUGGAAAGUAGUGUUAUUAGGUAGAGAGUAUGUGUCGUGGUCAAAAUAUUCACGUGUUGUAAUCAAGUUGAGUUUGAAAUUUUGAAUCUUAUAAGAAUAUUUACAUCUUUACAUAUGAAUGUUUGAUAGUAAGGGGUUGGUUAUUGUGGAGGUUUCAAUCAUUCUACUUCAAUAGCAAAUUUCAAUCGGUGCCUUUGAUUAUUGGCCACCGGAUGUGUAUCCAUAUUAGUGGGUAUUAUUUUUGAAGGUUGCUUCUAUUCUUUGUAAUAUGUUUCUAGUUCUACGAGAUCAUUGAAAUACGGUUGAGAUGGA